CCAGGAUAACCCCUCAGGAGGCACCAGCGGAAUGAUCUUCCAGUCCUGGGUGGAAGGAUGGGCUCCAGCUGUCCCUGAUGGACCCCAAGAGACUUCCAGCCCCCUCUGAAGGGCUGUUUGCUGUCAUCAAUCCUGGAGGAGCCCGUGGGGGCCAGGAGAGGAGUGACACCAGAGAUUUGUCCUAUUGAUUAACCCGGGAUGGGAGGAAUCAAACACCAGGAGCAGACAAACACCUGGGAGGAGAGCAGGGCAAUUGUCAGGAACAAACAAGAGCAAAAGGAGGAUCAUAUUAUUUUGCCUGAAAUUUGGAGUGGAUCAGACCCCUGCUGUUCCAAGCCCCUGCAAUGAAUGGCUAUAAACAAGAUGCAUUUCCAGAGAAUGAAUUAAACACUGAGCCUGAGUACUGACUGUGUUUGAGAGAUGUUUAUUUGUCCUUGCUCCAUAAAGAGUUGCACAAGGACUUACUAAAUUUUAACCCCACACUGUUCUUGGGUAAAUAAUGCCUCUUAUCCAACGUCAGGAGUGCUCAGAGCUGAGAUAAGCUCAGGUUGGCUCGUGCUCUCUGGAGCAUUCAGCCUCUUGGAACCAGCUUCCCACAGACCCCAGGGCAUCCACAUAAUUCCCAACAGCCUCCAAACCUCUGGCAG
Long non-coding RNA from Passer domesticus (house sparrow), 647 nucleotides. RefSeq lists it as uncharacterized. The transcript is spliced from 3 exons. Lineage: Eukaryota; Metazoa; Chordata; Aves; Passeriformes; Passeridae. The record is from RefSeq and is a predicted model, not a curated record.